AGUGAACGCUGGCGGUAGGCCUAACACAUGCAAGUCGAACGGCAGCACAGUAAGAGCUUGCUCUUACGGGUGGCGAGUGGCGGACGGGUGAGGAAUACAUCGGAAUCUACUCUUUCGUGGGGGAUAACGUAGGGAAACUUACGCUAAUACCGCAUACGACCUACGGGUGAAAGCAGGGGAUCUUCGGACCUUGCGCGAUUGAAUGAGCCGAUGUCGGAUUAGCUAGUUGGCGGGGUAAAGGCCCACCAAGGCGACGAUCCGUAGCUGGUCUGAGAGGAUGAUAGGCCACACGGGAACGGAGACACGGUCCAGACGACUACGGGAGGCAGCAGUGGGGAAUAUUGGACAAUGGGCGCAAGCCUGAUCCAGCCAUACCGCGUGGGUGAAGAAGGCCUUCGGGUUGUAAAGACCUUUUGUUGGGAAAGAAAAGCAGCAGGUUAAUACCCCGCUGUUCUGACGGUACCCAAAGAAUAAGCACCGGCUAACUUCGUG
RNAcentral lists this ribosomal RNA (492 nucleotides) under uncultured bacterium. RNAcentral describes it as "partial 16S ribosomal RNA". It matches the Rfam family "Bacterial small subunit ribosomal RNA", at positions 29 to 507 of the family's 1533-position model. The record is from RNAcentral.